GCCAGACUCCUACGGGAGGCAGCAGUGGGGAAUAUUGGGCAAUGGGCGUAAGCCUGACCCAGCAACGCCGCGUGAAGGAAGAAGGCUUUUGGGUUGUAAACUUCUUUUGACAGGGAAGAGCAGAGGACGGUACCUGUCGAAUAAGCCACGGCUAACUACGUGCCAGCAGCCGCGGUAAUACGUAGGUGGCAAGCGUUGUCCGGAUUUACUGGGUGUAAAGGGCGUGUAGCCGGGCUGACAAGUCAGAUGUGAAAUCCCGCGGCUCAACCGCGGAACUGCAUUUGAAACUGUCAGUCUUGAGUACCGGAGAGGUCAUCGGAAUUCCUUGUGUAGCGGUGAAAUGCGUAGAUAUAAGGAAGAACACCAGUGGCGAAGGCGGAUGACUGGACGGCAACUGACGGUGAGGCGCGAAAGCGUGGGGAGCAAACAGGAUUAGAUACCCCUGUA
Molecule: ribosomal RNA, 447 nt
Filed under: uncultured bacterium
Lineage: Bacteria
Description: partial 16S ribosomal RNA
Rfam family: Bacterial small subunit ribosomal RNA
Source: RNAcentral